Molecule: ribosomal RNA, 531 nt
Filed under: uncultured bacterium
Lineage: Bacteria
Description: bacterial SSU rRNA
Rfam family: Bacterial small subunit ribosomal RNA
Source: RNAcentral
UGGGGAAUAUUGCACAAUGGGCGCAAGCCUGAUGCAGCGACGCCGCGUGGGGGAUGACGGCCUUCGGGUUGUAAACUCCUUUCGCCAGGGACGAAGCGUUUUGUGACGGUACCUGGAGAAGAAGCACCGGCUAACUACGUGCCAGCAGCCGCGGUAAUACGUAGGGUGCAAGCGUUGUCCGGAAUUACUGGGCGUAAAGAGCUCGUAGGUGGUUUGUCACGUCGUCUGUGAAAUUCCACAGCUUAACUGUGGGCGUGCAGGCGAUACGGGCUGACUUGAGUACUGUAGGGGUAACUGGAAUCCCUGGUGUAGCGGUGAAAUGCGCAGAUAUCAGGAGGAACACCGAUGGCGAAGGCAGGUUACUGGGCAGUUACUGACGCUGAGGAGCGAAAGCAUGGGUAGCAAACAGGAUUAGAUACCCUGGUAGUCCAUGCCGUAAACGGUGGGCGCUAGGUGUAGGGGCCUUUUGGGGUUUCUGUGCCGUAGCUAACGCAUUAAGCGCCCCGCCUGGGGAGUACGGCCGCAAGGCUA